Molecule: ribosomal RNA, 442 nt
Filed under: uncultured bacterium
Lineage: Bacteria
Description: partial 16S ribosomal RNA
Rfam family: Bacterial small subunit ribosomal RNA
Source: RNAcentral
CCUACGGGAGGCAGCAGUGGGGAAUAUUGGGCAAUGGGCGCAAGCCUGACCCAGCAACGCCGCGUGAAGGAAGAAGGCUUUCGGGUUGUAAACUUCUUUUGUCAGGGAAGAGUAGAAGACGGUACCUGACGAAUAAGCCACGGCUAACUACGUGCCAGCAGCCGAGGUAGUACGUAGGUGGCAAGCGUUGUCCGGAUUUACUGGGUGUAAAGGGCGUGUAGCCGGGUUGACAAGUCAGAUGUGAAAUCCUGCGGCUUAACCGCAGAACUGCAUUUGAAACUGUUGAUCUUGAGUACUGGAGAGGCAGACGGAAUUCCUAGUGUAGCGGUGAAAUGCGUAGAGAUUAGGAGGAACACCAGUGGCGAAGGCGGUCUGCUGGACAGCAACUGACGGUGAGGCGCGAAAGCGUGGGGAGCAAACAGGAUUAGAUACCCUUGUAGUC